Molecule: ribosomal RNA, 525 nt
Filed under: uncultured bacterium
Lineage: Bacteria
Description: bacterial SSU rRNA
Rfam family: Bacterial small subunit ribosomal RNA
Source: RNAcentral
UACGUAGGGGGCAAGCGUUAUCCGGAAUUAUUGGGCGUAAAGGGUGCGUAGGCUGCCUUAUGGGUCAGAGGUUAAAGGCUACGGCUUAACCGUAGCAUGCCUUUGAAACUAUAGGGCUUGAGUGCAGGAGAGGAGAGUGGAAUUCCUAGUGUAGCGGUGAAAUGCGUAGAUAUUAGGAGGAAUACCAGUGGCGAAGGCGACUCUCUGGACUGCAACUGACGCUAAGGCACGAAAGCGUGGGUAGCGAACAGGAUUAGAUACCCUGGUAGUCCACGCCAUAAACGAUGAGUGCUAGGUGUUGGGGGUCAAACCUCGGUGCCGCAGUUAACGCAUUAAGCACUCCGCCUGGGGAGUACGUUCGCAAGAAUAAAACUCAAAGGAAUUGACGGGGACCCGCACAAGCAGCGGAGCAUGUGGUUUAAUUCGAAGCAACGCGAAGAACCUUACCUGGAUUUGACAUCCCUCUGACCGUUUCUUAACCGAGACCUUUCCUUCGGGAACAGAGGAGACAGGUGGUGCAUGGUU